This 346-nucleotide ribosomal RNA is filed under the name uncultured eukaryote. RNAcentral describes it as "SSU rRNA". It matches the Rfam family "Eukaryotic small subunit ribosomal RNA", at positions 594 to 945 of the family's 1831-position model. The record is from RNAcentral.
GUAGCGUAUAUUAAAGUUGUUGCAGUUAAAAAGCUCGUAGUCGAACUUCGGAUCUGGCGGGAUGGUCCGCCUUACGGUGUGUACUGUCCGGCCGGAUCUUACCUCUUGGUGAAGCCGUAUGCCCUUUACUGGGUGUGCGGUGGAACCAGGAAAUUUACUUUGAGAAAAUUAGAGUGUUCAAAGCAGGCAUACGCCCGAAUACAUUAGCAUGGAAUAAUAGAAUAGGACGUGCGGUUCUAUUUUGUUGGUUUCUAGGAUCGCCGUAAUGAUUAAUAGGGAUAGUCGGGGGCAUCCGUAUUCAAUUGUCAGAGGUGAAAUUCUUGGAUUUAUUGAAGACGAACUACUG